AACAACAACUUAUCUCUUAAUUUUUUUCAAUCCCUCUCUUACUCAAUGAAGUGGCAGAAUGACCUCAGAGCAGGCUCAUGUUACUGGCAUCAGGUAGCCAGCACCUGCCAGCCACAACCUGCUCCAGGAACAGUGGUAGGUAGGAGAUUUGACCGAGGAAGUACUAUACCCAUUAAAACAUUAUCGCAAGUAUCCUAAAGUGAGGUCAAGGAGCACAGAAACCUCCUGUGGAGCAAAAGGCCACUAUCUUAGCUUAUGAAAACUCAUUAUGAAUAUAGAUAUUGAAAGUGGCAAUCCUUUUGGCUUUUGGAAAUUUAAGUAGAAAGUGUCAAAAAGUUACCACAGGUAUACUGUAACUAGCUUUUGGAAGCCAAGCAUUCGUAGAAGCAUUACAUUUUGAUCCUUCAAUGUCGGGUGUUUGAAUUAUUCUUCAACAAGACUUCACCUUCCGUUCAAACAUUGGCUUGUUCAACCGCUAAUAGGGGGAGUGAUCUGUGCUGAGACUGUUGCAAGGCAAACAGGAGUUGAGCAUGGGUCAGUUGGUAUUAC
RNAcentral lists this non-coding RNA (549 nucleotides) under Lepisosteus oculatus (spotted gar). Its description in RNAcentral is "Eukaryotic large subunit ribosomal RNA". It matches the Rfam family "Eukaryotic large subunit ribosomal RNA", at positions 2485 to 2988 of the family's 3401-position model. Lineage: Eukaryota; Metazoa; Chordata; Actinopteri; Semionotiformes; Lepisosteidae. The record is from Rfam by way of RNAcentral.